RNAcentral lists this ribosomal RNA (82 nucleotides) under Dromaius novaehollandiae (emu). Its description in RNAcentral is "partial 12S ribosomal RNA". The record is from RNAcentral. Lineage: Eukaryota; Metazoa; Chordata; Aves; Casuariiformes; Dromaiidae.
AGCGUAUGAGAUGGAAGAAAUGGGCUACAUUUUCUAACAUAGAAUAUCCACGAAAGAAGAUGUGAAAUCACCUUCAGAAGGG